UAAAUGUGGGAAUAAUAUGCAUCGACAUUAAGAAGAAAAUCCUCAGGUUAAACAUUAGUUGAUGCAGGACAACUAUUAUUUCUUGUUCUCGGUUUGACAAAGCCAUCCUAAGCCAAGAAGUUCCUACAAAAUAUAUUCACAAAUUUGUUUAACCAAAAUAGCCCAAUCGUGAUUCCUGCAACAUGUUUACAGAAUUGGGACGUGCGCAUUACAAAGAACACCAAACUCUCAAAUAAUAUGUGAAAAUAACAGAUAGAUGAACGCAAACAAAUUAAAACAAAUUUCGCAAACGUACAGUAGACAGUAGUAAAUGUAAAUUAACACAGAGUACUAGUAGAUAAUAAAUAUACGGAUGAACCAAAUGUUACAUAUACUAGUCGGGUUAGUACCUGUAUCCUCCACUCGAAAUCCGUUUAUGAGACUGGCGCGAUGUACAAUUACGCGAAACCCUGAUGGACUCUCUUGAAGAACGAAACCCUAACUAUGUAUGAUGUC
This 495-nucleotide long non-coding RNA is filed under the name Erythranthe guttata (spotted monkey flower). RNAcentral's name for it is "long non-coding RNA (EGUT_LNC002630)". The record is from RNAcentral. Lineage: Eukaryota; Viridiplantae; Streptophyta; Magnoliopsida; Lamiales; Phrymaceae.